AACAUCUUUUCUUGUUAGUUUCUGAAGUAUGGCCUGCCCGCUGACGUAUUUUGAGUUGAAGGGCCGCGGUAUUUUGACCGUGCAAAGGUAGCAUAGUCAUUAGUUCUUUAAUUGUGAUCUGGUAUGAAUGGCUUGACGAGACAUAGGCUGUCUUAGUGUGAAUUUAUUGUUGAAUUUGGAGUUUAAGUUAAAAUUCUUAGAUGUUUUUAUGGGACGAGAAGACCCUAUAGAGUUUUACAUUUGAUUGUGCAUUUCUUGUUGUUUGUUUUAGGUUUUUGCGUGUCUUUUGUUUUGUUGGGGUGAUGGGAGGAAUUUAUUUAACUCCUCUUUUUAUGUGAUAUAUUGAUUUAUGUUUGUUUUGAUCCAUUUAUUUUGAUUGUAAGACUAAAUUACCUUAGGGAUAACAGCGUUAUCCUCCCUGAGAGUUCUUAUUGGCGGGGGGGUUUGCGACCUCGAUGUUGGAUUAAGGUUUAUUUUU
RNAcentral lists this ribosomal RNA (478 nucleotides) under Odontotermes javanicus. RNAcentral's name for it is "partial 16S ribosomal RNA". It matches the Rfam family "Bacterial large subunit ribosomal RNA", at positions 1828 to 2551 of the family's 2925-position model. The record is from RNAcentral. Lineage: Eukaryota; Metazoa; Arthropoda; Insecta; Blattodea; Termitidae.